RNAcentral lists this small RNA (124 nucleotides) under Marmota monax (woodchuck). The record is from RNAcentral. Lineage: Eukaryota; Metazoa; Chordata; Mammalia; Rodentia; Sciuridae.
GCUGGGCACGCUGGCGCAUGCCUGUGAUCCUAGUGGCUCCAGAGGUUGAGACAGGAGAUUUGUGGGUUCAAAGCCAGCCUCGCAAUGGCGAGGUGCUCAACAACUCAAUGAGACCCUGUCUCUA